This 549-nucleotide ribosomal RNA is filed under the name Clostridioides difficile. Its description in RNAcentral is "bacterial SSU rRNA". It matches the Rfam family "Bacterial small subunit ribosomal RNA", at positions 249 to 816 of the family's 1533-position model. Lineage: Bacteria; Bacillati; Bacillota; Clostridia; Peptostreptococcales; Peptostreptococcaceae. The record is from RNAcentral.
UUGGUAAGGUAACGGCUUACCAAGGCGACGAUCAGUAGCCGACCUGAGAGGGUGAUCGGCCACAUUGGAACUGAGACACGGUCCAAACUCCUACGGGAGGCAGCAGUGGGGAAUAUUGCACAAUGGGCGAAAGCCUGAUGCAGCAACGCCGCGUGAGUGAUGAAGGCCUUCGGGUCGUAAAACUCUGUCCUCAAGGAAGAUAAUGACGGUACUUGAGGAGGAAGCCCCGGCUAACUACGUGCCAGCAGCCGCGGUAAUACGUAGGGGGCUAGCGUUAUCCGGAUUUACUGGGCGUAAAGGGUGCGUAGGCGGUCUUUCAAGUCAGGAGUGAAAGGCUACGGCUCAACCGUAGUAAGCUCUUGAAACUGGGAGACUUGAGUGCAGGAGAGGAGAGUGGAAUUCCUAGUGUAGCGGUGAAAUGCGUAGAUAUUAGGAGGAACACCAGUUGCGAAGGCGGCUCUCUGGACUGUAACUGACGCUGAGGCACGAAAGCGUGGGGAGCAAACAGGAUUAGAUACCCUGGUAGUCCACGCUGUAAACGAUGAGUAC